GUUCCACUGCAAGCUGGGGAGACACAGACACGUGACCGUGCAGCCCAGGGACAGAGUCAAGGACCUUCCAGAGUGGGCUGAUGCCAGAAUCGCCUCUCUGCUUCUCCACUGCGUGUCGUCACAUCGGUUGAGCUACAAACCAGGGUGUUACUCAGAUCUGGAGAUGAUGUUCCAGCAGAGAUUCAUAAGCAUCUAGAUGAGAUACCUGAGCCUUGGCACAUUCGAGCAUGGGUGGAGACAAGCAGGCCGCGUCACCAGCCACUUGCUGCAGACGCCUCUCCCGGGGGGCUCUGAGGUCUCAUUCCCCGCAGAACAGGCCAGCAGAUCCACAAGGGCCUUCACCUGCUCAGCUGGGGAGCCAGUGCCAUGGGCCUGGCUGCCCUCCCCACCC
Molecule: long non-coding RNA, 391 nt
Organism: Fukomys damarensis (Damara mole-rat)
Lineage: Eukaryota; Metazoa; Chordata; Mammalia; Rodentia; Bathyergidae
Exons: 4
Source: RefSeq, a predicted model, not a curated record